GAUGAAGAACGUAGCGAAAUGCGAUAAGUAAUGUGAAUUGCAGAAUUCAGUGAAUCAUCGAAUCUUUGAACGCACAUUGCGCCCGUCAGUAUUCUGGCGGGCAUGCCUGUUCGAGCGUCAUUUCAACCCUCAAGCACAGCUUGGUGUUGGGACUCGCGUUAAUUCGCGUUCCCCAAAUUGAUUGGCGGUCACGUCGAGCUUCCAUAGCGUAGUAGUAAAACCCUCGUUACUGGUAAUCGUCGCGGCCACGCCGUUAAACCCCAACUUCUGAAUGUUGACCUCGGAUCAGGUAGGAAUACCCGCUGAACUUAAGCAUAUCAAUAAGCGGAGGA
Molecule: unclassified non-coding RNA, 332 nt
Filed under: soil metagenome
Description: partial contains 5.8S ribosomal RNA, internal transcribed spacer 2, and large subunit ribosomal RNA
Rfam family: 5.8S ribosomal RNA (bases 1-120)
Source: RNAcentral